UUUAGUGCUUACACCGAAAGACGAGUGGCGAACGGGUGCGUAACGCGUAUGCAAUCUACCUUUUACUAGGGUAUAGCCCGGAGAAAUUUGGAUUAAUCCCCUAUAAUAUCAUGAAUUCGCAUGAUUUUAUGAUUAAAGCUUCGGCGGUAAAAGAUGAGCAUGCGUCCUAUUAGUUAGUAGGUGAGGUAACGGCUCACCUAGACUACGAUAGGUAGGGGUCCUGAGAGGGAGAUCCCCCACACUGGUACUGAGACACGGACCAGACUCCUACGGGAGGCAGCAGUGAGGAAUAUUGGACAAUGGACGAAAGUCUGAUCCAGCUAUGCCGCGUGCAGGAUGACGGCCCUAUGGGUUGUAAACUGCUUUUAUACAGGAAGAAAAAAUCCGACGUGUCGGAUCUUGACGGUACUGUAAGAAUAAGGAUCGGCUAACUCCGUG
Molecule: ribosomal RNA, 438 nt
Filed under: uncultured bacterium
Lineage: Bacteria
Description: bacterial SSU rRNA
Rfam family: Bacterial small subunit ribosomal RNA
Source: RNAcentral